GACAGAGGGUGCAAACGUUGCUCGGAAUCACUGGGCGUAAAGGGCGCGUAGGCGGGAAUGUAAGUCGGGCGUGAAAUCCCUAGGCUCAACCUAGGAACUGCACUCGAAACUGCGUUUCUUGAGUAUCGGAGAGGAAAGCGGAAUUCCUGGUGUAGAGGUGAAAUUCGUAGAUAUCAGGAGGAACACCAGUGGCGAAGGGCGGCUUUCUGGGACGG
This 215-nucleotide ribosomal RNA is filed under the name uncultured bacterium. Its description in RNAcentral is "partial 16S ribosomal RNA". It matches the Rfam family "Bacterial small subunit ribosomal RNA", at positions 524 to 736 of the family's 1533-position model. The record is from RNAcentral.